RNAcentral lists this ribosomal RNA (468 nucleotides) under uncultured bacterium. RNAcentral's name for it is "partial 16S ribosomal RNA". It matches the Rfam family "Bacterial small subunit ribosomal RNA", at positions 28 to 507 of the family's 1533-position model. The record is from RNAcentral.
GACGAACGCUGGCGGCGUGCUUAACACAUGCAAGUCGAACGGAAAGGCCCUGCUUUUGUGGGGUGCUCGAGUGGCGAACGGGUGAGUAACACGUGAGUAACCUGCCCUUGACUUUGGGAUAACUUCAGGAAACUGGGGCUAAUACCGGAUAGGAGCUCCUGCUGCAUGGUGGGGGUUGGAAAGUUUCGGCGGUUGGGGAUGGACUCGCGGCUUAUCAGCUUGUUGGUGGGGUAGUGGCUUACCAAGGCUUUGGCGGGUAGCCGGCCUGAGUGGGUGACCGGCCACAUUGGGACUGAGAUACGGCCCAGACUCCUACGGGAGGCAGCAGUGGGGAAUAUUGCACAAUGGGCGGAAGCCUGAUGCAGCAACGCCGCGUGCGGGAUGACGGCCUUCGGGUUGUAAACCGCUUUCGCCUGUGACGAAGCGUGAGUGACGGUAAUGGGUAAAGAAGCACCGGCUAACUACGUG